ACUAAGUGCUAAGGCACUCAAGCACACACUACUUUGGCAACAUGGCACGGUUUAUAUAGCUACGAGCGUGCUUUUCUUAAUCUUUGGAGGUCCCUACGCUAAACUGUAGGCCUGAGAUCAAAAUCUCUUUGCGAGAUCGGAUCGUUUGAUAUGGUGAUUCUAACAACGCAACCAUGAUACACGAUUCGAAUGUGGGAGACGUAGCCCCCUACUGUCCCUACGGAGAAGACAGUGGAAGCAAGCCUUCUUUCCGGAAAUGAGAGACGAGGAGCAAGCAUCUUGCCUUCCCUGCAAUGCGACAGCCGUACCAUUCGGCCGUCCGUCCACGCUAGCUUGCUAUUUCGAAACGCAUUUGGAGGUCACUCGGAUGACGAAUCUUGGAACACUUCCAUCUUAGGACAACCAAAAGGAACUAUGGAGCCAUGGAGCAGUGUGGUCUUUCGUGCAAGUUAGCUGCGGGGGAAUGUCAGGACUGUUGAUCGUGUUGAUCCAAAGUCAUGCACCUAUGGACACCACUCGGGACAAUUCUUCCUACACCAUCGGGCUACA
Long non-coding RNA from Selaginella moellendorffii, 549 nucleotides. RefSeq lists it as uncharacterized. The record is from RefSeq and is a predicted model, not a curated record. The transcript has 4 exons. Lineage: Eukaryota; Viridiplantae; Streptophyta; Lycopodiopsida; Selaginellales; Selaginellaceae.